GGACGGGUGAGUAAUGUCUGGGGAUCUGCCCGAUAGAGGGGGAUAACCACUGGAAACGGUGGCUAAUACCGCAUAACGUCGCAAGACCAAAGAGGGGGACCUUCGGGCCUCUCACUAUCGGAUGAACCCAGAUGGGAUUAGCUAGUAGGCGGGGUAAUGGCCCACCUAGGCGACGAUCCCUAGCUGGUCUGAGAGGAUGACCAGCCACACUGGAACUGAGACACGGUCCAGACUCCUACGGGAGGCAGCAGUGGGGAAUAUUGCACAAUGGGCGCAAGCCUGAUGCAGCCAUGCCGCGUGUAUGAAGAAGGCCUUCGGGUUGUAAAGUACUUUCAGCGGGGAGGAAGGCGACGGGGUUAAUAACCCUGUCGAUUGACGUUACCCGCAGAAGAAGCACCGGCUAACUCCGUGCCAGCAGCCGCGGUAAUACGGAGGGUGCAAGCGUUAAUCGGAAUUACUGGGCGUAAAGCGCACGCAGGCGGUCUGUUAAGUCAGAUGUGAAAUCCCCGGGCUUAACCUGGGAACUGCAUUUGAAACUGGCAGGCUUGAGUCUUGUAGAGGGGGGUAGAAUUCCAGGUGUAGCGGUGAAAUGCGUAGAGAUCUGGAGGAAUACCGGUGGCGAAGGCGGCCCCCUGGACAAAGACUGACGCUCAGGUGCGAAAGCGUGGGAGCAAACAGGAUUAGAUACCCUGGUAGUCCACGCCGUAAACGAUGUCGACUUGGAGGUUGUUCCCUUGAGGAGUGGCUUCCGGAGCUAACGCGUUAAGUCGACCGCCUGGGGAGUACGGCCGCAAGGUUAAAACUCAAAUGAAUUGACGGGGGCCCGCACAAGCGGUGGAGCAUGUGGUUUAAUUCGAUGCAACGCGAAGAACCUUACCUACUCUUGACAUCCACGGAAUUUGGCAGAGAUGCCUUAGUGCCUUCGGGAACCGUGAGACAGGUGCUGCAUGGCUGUCGUCAGCUCGUGUUGUGAAAUGUUGGGUUAAGUCCCGCAACGAGCGCAACCCUUAUCCUUUGUUGCCAGCGAUUCGGUCGGGAACUCAAAGGAGACUGCCGGUGAUAAACCGGAGGAAGGUGGGGAUGACGUCAAGUCAUCAUGGCCCUUACGAGUAGGGCUACACACGUGCUACAAUGGCGCAUACAAAGAGAAGCGACCUCGCGAGAGCAAGCGGACCUCACAAAGUGCGUCGUAGUCCGGAUCGGAGUCUGCAACUCGACUCCGUGAAGUCGGAAUCGCUAGUAAUCGUGGAUCAGAAUGCCACGGUGAAUACGUUCCCGGGCCUUGUACACACCGCCCGUCACACCAUGGGAGUGGGUUGCAAAAGAAGUAGGUAGCUUAACCU
This 1343-nucleotide ribosomal RNA is filed under the name Pantoea sp. B309. RNAcentral describes it as "bacterial SSU rRNA". It matches the Rfam family "Bacterial small subunit ribosomal RNA", at positions 100 to 1441 of the family's 1533-position model. RNAcentral also lists the same sequence under 1 other name. The record is from RNAcentral. Lineage: Bacteria; Pseudomonadati; Pseudomonadota; Gammaproteobacteria; Enterobacterales; Erwiniaceae.